UGCCCUGAGGUUUAACUAUCGAAUUCGGUAUGUGAACUUAUACGAUUGUAAACAGGACUUGUAUAAUAACAACGCCCCCCGGGCGAUCCCUUGAAAAUUCUUAGGGAAGGUUAAUGACAACCCAUAAUGUUAACACUUUCCCGAAAAAGGAUACAGUAAAAAUCUAGAAAGCCUCGUGUAUCGUCGCCGGCGAACGACUUAUGUUGUUAUUUGACAACUACAGAGGGCUCAGAGCAAAUGAUCUAAAUCAAUUGAAA
Long non-coding RNA from Daphnia carinata, 257 nucleotides. RefSeq lists it as uncharacterized. NCBI's taxonomy places the organism in Eukaryota, Metazoa, Arthropoda, Branchiopoda, Diplostraca, Daphniidae. The transcript is spliced from 2 exons. The record is from RefSeq and is a predicted model, not a curated record.